GACGAACGCUGGCGGCGUGCCUAAUACAUGCAAGUAGAACGCUGAAGGAGGAGCUUGCUUUUCUGGAUGAGUUGCGAACGGGUGAGUAACGCGUAGGUAACCUGCCUGGUAGCGGGGGAUAACUAUUGGAAACGAUAGCUAAUACCGCAUAAGAGUAGAUGUUGCAUGACAUUUGCUUAAAAGGUGCAAUUGCAUCACUACCAGAUGGACCUGCGUUGUAUUAGCUAGUUGGUGGGGUAACGGCUUACCAAGGCGACGAUACAUAGCCGACCUGAGAGGGUGAUCGGCCACACUGGGACUGAGACACGGCCCAGACUCCUACGGGAGGCAGCAGUAGGGAAUCUUCGGCAAUGGACGGAAGUCUGACCGAGCAACGCCGCGUGAGUGAAGAAGGUUUUCGGAUCGUAAAGCUCUGUUGUAAGAGAAGAACGAGUGUGAGAGUGGAAAGUUCACACUGUGACGGUAUCUUACCAGAAAGGGACGGCUAACUACGUG
This 495-nucleotide ribosomal RNA is filed under the name uncultured bacterium. RNAcentral describes it as "partial 16S ribosomal RNA". It matches the Rfam family "Bacterial small subunit ribosomal RNA", at positions 28 to 507 of the family's 1533-position model. The record is from RNAcentral.